GUUUCGAAUUAUUUAUAUCAAAUUUGCAGAUAUAUGUUUGUAAAUACGUGCAAUCAAAUGAUAUGGAGGUAUUAUAAGAUUUAGAUAAUGCAAUGGCGACUACAGAUACAUUUGUGUGACUUAAAUGGUUGAUUUUCAAAGACUCCGAGAGAAAACGUUAUGUAACAUGUGUUACCGUUAAAAUCAACCAAAAUUAAUUAAUA
Molecule: long non-coding RNA, 203 nt
Filed under: Mytilus galloprovincialis (Mediterranean mussel)
Lineage: Eukaryota; Metazoa; Mollusca; Bivalvia; Mytilida; Mytilidae
Source: RNAcentral